ACUCAAAUGAAUAGACGGGGGCUCACACAAGCGGUGGAGCAUGUGGCUUAAUUCGAGGCUACGCGAAGAACCUUAUCCUGGACUUGACAUGUUCGAAAGAGGUGGGAAGUAGCCCGCGGAAACGUGGGGCCAACGGUAUCCAGUCCGGAACCUACCACAGGUGCUGCAUGGCUGUCGUCAGCUCGUGUCGUGAGAUGUUGGGUUAAGUCCCGUAACGAGCGAAACCCUUGUCCUCAGUUGCCAUCAUUCAGUUGGGUACUCUGGGGAGACUGCCGGUGUUAAACCGGAGGAAGGUGGGGAUGACGUCAAGUCCUCAUGGCCUUUAUGUCCAGGGCUGCACACGUGCUACAAUGGCCUGUACAAAGGGACGCCAACCCGCGAGGGGGAGCAAAUCCCAAAAAACAGGCCCCAGUUCAGAUUGAAGGCUGCAACUCGCCUUCAUGAAGUUGGAAUCGCUAGUAAUCGCGGGUCAGCAACACCGCGGUGAAUGUGUUCCUGAGCCUUGCACACACCGCCCGU
Molecule: ribosomal RNA, 519 nt
Filed under: uncultured bacterium
Lineage: Bacteria
Description: partial 16S ribosomal RNA
Rfam family: Bacterial small subunit ribosomal RNA
Source: RNAcentral